This 497-nucleotide ribosomal RNA is filed under the name uncultured bacterium. Its description in RNAcentral is "partial 16S ribosomal RNA". It matches the Rfam family "Bacterial small subunit ribosomal RNA", at positions 28 to 507 of the family's 1533-position model. The record is from RNAcentral.
GAUGAACGCUGGCGGCGUGCCUAAUACAUGCCAGUCGAGCGAACGGACGAGAAGCUUGCUUUUCUGAUGUUAGCGGCGGACGGGUGAGUAACACGUGGAUAACCUACCUAUAAGACUGGGAUAACUUCGGGAAGCCGGAGCUAAUACCGGAUAAUAUUUUGAACCGCAUGGUUCAAAAGUGAAAGACGGUCUUGCUGUCACUUAUAGAUGGAUCCGCGCUGCAUUAGCUAGUUGGUAAGGUAACGGCUUACCAAGGCAACGAUGCAUAGCCGACCUGAGAGGGUGAUCGGCCACACUGGAACUGAGACACGGUCCAGACUCCUACGGGAGGCAGCAGUAGGGAAUCUUCCGCAAUGGGCGAAAGCCUGACGGAGCAACGCCGCGUGAGUGAUGAAGGUCUUCGGAUCGUAAAACUCUGUUAUUAGGGAAGAACAUAUGUGUAAGUAACUGUGCACAUCUUGACGGUACCUAAUCAGAAAGCCACGGCUAACUACGUG